Long non-coding RNA from Erigeron canadensis, 339 nucleotides. RefSeq lists it as uncharacterized. The record is from RefSeq and is a predicted model, not a curated record. NCBI's taxonomy places the organism in Eukaryota, Viridiplantae, Streptophyta, Magnoliopsida, Asterales, Asteraceae. The transcript has 3 exons.
UAUGCUUUUUGAAAUGCACGAGGUUUAGUGAGAGCUGUUCGCUUUUGGUAUGCUUCUCUUGGUGGAUAGAUCGUGGUCAAAACUAAGAUACUUGAAGGUGUUUUAAAGGCUAAACCAUCGUAGCUCAAAUCGUUGGGAAAUUACUUUUCAUGGCUGAGAAUUUACCAACUGAGGCCCAAGCCCAACCAUUGAGGACCAGACCCUUUUAUUUUUAGAAAAUCAAGACAAAAAGAGGCCACCACAAAAAUGGGCAUAACUUUUGCUAGAAGGCUCCGUUUUGGACGUGUGACCAGUCAAAACGACCGCAGAAACGAGGCGCAUCAAGUUGCAAAUGCCAAA